GACGAACGCUGGCGGCGUGCUUAAUACAUGCAAGUCGAGCGAAGAUUUUCUGGUGCUUGCACUAGCAAAACUUACCGGCGAACGGGUGAGUAACACGUAACGAACCCGCCUCAUUGACAGGGCCAAAUAUUGGAAACGAUAGUUAAUACCAGAUAAUCGUACUUCUUGCAUGGGAGUUGUUUAAAAGUUGGUUAUGCUAACAACAUGAGAUGGCUUUGCGUUGCAUUAGCUGGUUGGUGGGGUAAAGCCCCACCAAGGCGGCGAUGCGUAGCCGACGUGAGAGAGUGAUAGGCCACACUGGGAGUGAGACACGGCCCAGACUACUGCGGGAGGCAGCAGAAGGGAAUGGGCCGCAAUGGGCGAAAGCCUGACGGAACGGCGCCGAGUCUGUGAAGGAGGAGUUCGGUGCGUGAAGCUCUGUUGUUAGUGAUAAAUGGAUUUGUAGUAACUCUACGUGUAAGUGACGGUACCGAGUCAAGAAGCAACGGCUAACUACGUG
This 499-nucleotide ribosomal RNA is filed under the name uncultured bacterium. RNAcentral's name for it is "partial 16S ribosomal RNA". It matches the Rfam family "Bacterial small subunit ribosomal RNA", at positions 28 to 507 of the family's 1533-position model. The record is from RNAcentral.